ACACGACUACAUUAGAUACCCGCGUAGUCCUAGCCGUAAACGAUACUCGCUAGGUGUCGGCCACGGUGCGACCGUUGUCGGUGCCGUAGGGAAGCCGUGAAGCGAGCCACCUGGGAAGUACGGCCGCAAGGCUGAAACUUAAAGGAAUUGGCGGGGGAGCACCACAACGGGUGGAGCUUGCGGUUUAAUUGGAUUCAACGCCGGGAAGCUCACCGGAUAAGACAGCGGAAUGAUUGCCGGGCUGAAGACCCUGCAUGACCAGCUG
Molecule: ribosomal RNA, 265 nt
Filed under: uncultured archaeon
Lineage: Archaea
Description: partial 16S ribosomal RNA
Rfam family: Archaeal small subunit ribosomal RNA
Source: RNAcentral